Lonchura striata (white-rumped munia) is the source of this 368-nucleotide non-coding RNA. Lineage: Eukaryota; Metazoa; Chordata; Aves; Passeriformes; Estrildidae. The record is from RefSeq and is a predicted model, not a curated record.
AUCAUUAUUGUGUGGCGACAGAGAUGUGCUGAGCACUUGGGCAGAUUUUGAUGCUGGUUUCCCUGCAGAGAGGGGAGCAGUGCAGCUCAGCUCUUUGAUGUGACAUUCAGGAUUCUUCAGAGCCACUGGAAAUGUGGCAGCCUAUGAUGAUUCUCUGCUGGAAACAGCAUUAGGAACCUACACAACUUUGGCUUGCACUGAUGGAAAACUGAUGGCUUCUGGUCAAGUGAGAGUCAAAGGAUGAAGGGCUGAAAUCAGCACAAGAGCUCAGGACUGGAGAGGAUGAUGAUACCAGUCAAGAGGAAAGAGUGAUGCUCCACACCCUUUCUCAGCAGUGAUUAAAUCUAUUAAACCUAUAUUUGCAUCUC